UGCUGGCUGUUGGCUGCUGGACAAACUUAAAAAAAAUAACCCUAGCAGCCUAGCUUUAUAUCCAGCGCCUUGCCUCAUUGGGGCGUGCCUCGUGACUCGGUGCGCCUCGGUGAGGUGGUGUGCCUUGGCUGUCCCGAGGCUCCUGGGGCGCCUUGCGCCUGGGGCGCUUCUUUGAUAACAGUGGAAGUGGGCUCUUCAGCUAUAAUUGAAAGAAUCUAGAAAUCCCAUGUCUUAUCCGUCUAUUUGCGCUUUCUUUACCUAUGGUUCAUCCUGUUAAGAAAGCCACUGAUAAUUUCAGAUCCUUGCCCCCUAGGUUGUGGAUUAUGACAAGUUGGGUGCAAAGUUGUCUCUGAUGCUUACAUUGGAAUCAAUAUAACAUACUGGUAACGGGGGAAAUUCUAGCUAGGAAUAUGUUUCAUGUUUUGAUGAAUAUUUUUGUAUAAUGAACCAUGUGGCCUUUACUAGAUACAGUUCAACAAAUUGUUUUUAGACUUCUAGUUUGUGAUCUACGUCAUCACAAAGCAAAUGGCAUUGAGAUGCAUAUAGCAUGCGAACUAAAAUUUGAUCUACUCUAGUUAAAAUUAUCAAAUUAAUAUUUGUUGUUCUGUCUUUUCAUGGCAUGCAUUGCCUAUGAUUCAAGCUGAGAUAGCUUUGCAUGAGGAAUUAUUAUAAAUGGGAGAUGCUCCCAUCUAAUUUGAUAUAUGCACUUUGAUCCUUGUUGGUCCCUAUCCUAUAGCUUGUUGACGAAUCUAAACUUUAGUCUUUGGUUAUAAAGCCAUAGAAUUUUCAUAAAACUUUAAUUUCCAAUAUUUUAAAUUAAACCACACUUUAUUCCUUAAAAAUACUAAAUUUAAUUGCUAAUUUUGAAACAGCAAGAACUAAGGUGUGUUUUGUUACAAACUUCGGGGGGUAUUUGUUAAUUUACCCUGAUAAAUAACUCAUAACUGGCAUUAGCCAUUAAUUGCUCUACCAUUAGCUGAGGCAUUUCAGAAUAAAAGUCUUACAAGAUCCUUUAGGAAAAUAUUAGAAGCUAUGCAUAACGGUGUUUCCUGAAUAAAGGGAACAGAAUGUUUUGUCUUACUGACUUAUGGCUACUUGCUGUCUGCAAAGAAUCAUUCUCAGAAAAUUCAUGCCUAUUUUCUGCUGUCGUGUGCGUGGGCCUUGCUGGUCAAAUUUUACCAGUAGUAAAUGGUGCUUUGCCAUGUCUAUGACACGUGUGAAGGGCUGCUACAUCGUUUGUUAUUAUAGUUGAAUGCCUGGCUAAGCCUGGUUUAACAUUUGACUGCUGGAUAACAAAUUUGCCUGUGUUCCUCUAUAAUGGAUCUACCCCACUUGGUGUUAAAAACAUAUAAGAAAGAUUAAUGAAAUUACUUUCCACAUUUAAGAAAAUUGAGAGAAAUUAAUAUAGGAAAUAGAAAAACUUAAAUAACUUGUGCCCUUUAUGAUGUGUUUUGAUGAAGUGUUGAAAUUAAUUGUUUACAACUUAUUUAGAAAUCAUUUUGCACUUCUAUUGAAACUUCUUUUAUUUAUAUUGCUAUUGAUCUAUCAGAAAGUUUGCCUCAGUAGUUCUACACUUGUGAAAGGCUUUUCUCUUACUCACUAUAUUGAACCAUGUUUUAUAUUCUCUUCAACAUGUUGGUUUGAGUCAGAGUGUAAGAAACUAUUAGAUAGGCAUAUCGAGGUAUUUAUAUCAAUGGCUACCAUUAUUGGGUUUGGGAAGGAGGUGUUCUUGUGGUUCACAUUAGGAUAUCUUUAUAGUUCCUGAUCCAUGAAACUCUAUACUAGAUACAAUAUGGUGGAAUUUUUGAAUUUAGCAGUAUUAUAUUAUUGUGAUCAAGACCCAUUCAGCUGCUCUUAUUAACAGCUUCAUACAUUCUGAGUGAUGAUGUUUAUCACUUAUGUGCUACUUUCUCAGGUUGACAUGGUCAUUGUACCUG
RNAcentral lists this unclassified non-coding RNA (1937 nucleotides) under Hevea brasiliensis (rubber tree). The record is from RNAcentral. Lineage: Eukaryota; Viridiplantae; Streptophyta; Magnoliopsida; Malpighiales; Euphorbiaceae.